RNAcentral lists this long non-coding RNA (1223 nucleotides) under Lynx pardinus (Iberian lynx). Lineage: Eukaryota; Metazoa; Chordata; Mammalia; Carnivora; Felidae. The record is from RNAcentral.
GUCACAUUUUUAUAAACGUAUCUGUGCGUCCAGGGCAGGCGUGUCGAUGGGCCGUGGAAAUGAAGGUCCCCCUCAAACGCACACAACACCGCGGGCACUUUUGGGGAGUCGCUGGUACCCUACAGGCAUUAACCUCGAAUCCCGUGAUCUUCGCCGCAGACGCUAAGAAGAGCGGGUCCGCCUAAAGAGGAAAGCCUCUCGAAUUUGUAUUGGCUCCUGUCUACCAGUUGUCAGGGCCCAGGGUUGAAGUCCAGUAAAUGCCUCACUCGGGAAACCUUGGACACUCGACAGACCAUUUAUUUAUCUCUGGGCCUGACCCAUGCGUUCCAAAGCUCAAGCCGUUGGGGAAAACAGGCUUGGAAAAACGCAUAUCCCACCCGCCCCCAGUAGCUCAGGCUGACAAGUUGGCCCUUCAGCAAGUAUCCCAUUGUCCGAAUCGUGCGGACACCUCCAUAAUGCGCCCCCUUCAUCGGCGCGUAUAAAAGAUCCCCUAUGCUUCCUAUAUGCGCCCAUGACCUCAUCUUUCCUGCACAGUCCACUCGCUUUCAAUGGACCCAGUCACAAGCCGGAACUGUUUGACUCCAGUGUUGCCUAGCGGACCAUCUGUUGGUCGGAAUCGGCGCGCAAGCCCCGCUUUGCCGGUGGCGGUACCUCCACAGCGGCACCGCCCGCCGCCCUGGUCCCCCCGCACCUCUCCCCUUCCCUCCUCUGCCGUCCUCACCCCGGGAGCUCCCGCGAGUGCCCUGUGGGAACUGCCGGGAGACGGUCAUAAACCCGGCUCUGUUCUCCGGCAGUUUCAGGCCCAGCCGGGCCCAGACCCGCCUUUUCUUCCUUAAAGGUCACAAAAUCUAAUUAGAACGAUUGCUAACUGUAUAUUCUCGUUGUCGGUAAGCCUCAAAUAAUAAAAAUCAGACCAAAUGAGACUAAUCAAGGGAGAUGGAAAAUCGAUGUCAUAUUUGUUCCAAGUAAUUUCCUUUUAGAAGAGAAAGGGCUCUUAGGAGUGGUUUGCGAAUUUAAAAGAUGUUUACGGUUGCAUCUAGACAUCGGAACAUCAAAGUCAACCCCAAACGGAAUUUCGCUGGAUGAUCUCUCUCUUUAUUCCCGGAAAAGCCAGGGCGGUGUGGUAUAAAGGCUAAAACGGGGCGACAGCCUUUCUUGGGUCUGCUUUAAGUAGUUCUGGCUUUGCCAAAAACAAAACAAAAAAAAAAAAAUUGAAAAAGGGA